RNAcentral lists this ribosomal RNA (460 nucleotides) under uncultured bacterium. RNAcentral describes it as "partial 16S ribosomal RNA". It matches the Rfam family "Bacterial small subunit ribosomal RNA", at positions 338 to 795 of the family's 1533-position model. The record is from RNAcentral.
CCUACGGGUGGCAGCAGUGAGGAAUAUUGGUCAAUGGGCGGGAGCCUGAACCAGCCAAGUCGCGUGAGGGAAGACGGUCCUACGGAUUGUAAACCUCUUUUGCCGGGGAGCAACGGGGUCCUUGCGAGCGCCCUAGGAGAUUCCCCGGGGAAAAAGCAUCGGCGAACUCAGUGCCAGCAGCCGCGUUAAUACGGAGGAUGCGAGCGUUAUCCGGAUUUAUUGGGUUUAAAGGGUGCGUAGGCGGGCUGUUAAGUCAGCGGUCGAAUGUCGGGGCUCAACCCCGGCCGGCCGUUGAAACUGGGGGCCUCGAGUGGGCGAGAAGUACGCGGAAUGCGUGGUGUAGCGGUGAAAUGCAUAGAUAGCACGCAGAACUCCGAUUGCGAAGGCAGCAUACCGGCGCCCGACUGACGCUGAGGCACGAAAGCGUGGGUAUCGAACAGGAUUAGAUACCCCAGUAGUC